RNAcentral lists this ribosomal RNA (256 nucleotides) under uncultured bacterium. RNAcentral describes it as "partial 16S ribosomal RNA". It matches the Rfam family "Bacterial small subunit ribosomal RNA", at positions 521 to 776 of the family's 1533-position model. The record is from RNAcentral.
UAACACGUAGGAGGCGAACGUUAUCCGGAUUUACUGGGCGUAAAGCGCGUGUAGGUGGUUUGGUAAGUAGGGCGUGAAAGCUCCCGGCUCAACUGGGAGAGGCCGUUCUAAACUGCCAAGCUAGAGGAUGGUAGAGGGAGGUGGAAUUCCGGGUGUAGCGGUGGAAUGCGCAGAUAUCCGGAGGAACACCAGUGGCGAAGGCGGCCUCCUGGGCCACUCCUGACACUCAGACGCGAAAGCUAGGGUAGCAAACGGG